UAACCACUCAAGCUCACGCUUGGUCUUGGGGUUCGCGGUCCCGCGGCCCCUAAAAUCAGUGGCGGUGCCUGUCGGCUCUACGCGUAGUAAUACUCCUCGCGUCUGGGUCCGGUGGGUCUACUUGCCAGCAACCCCCAAUUUUUUACA
RNAcentral lists this unclassified non-coding RNA (147 nucleotides) under uncultured fungus. Its description in RNAcentral is "sequence contains ITS2". Lineage: Eukaryota; Fungi. The record is from RNAcentral.